UACGUAGGGUGCAAGCGUUAAUCGGAAUUACUGGGCGUAAAGCGUGCGUAGACGGCUAUCUAAGUCGGGCGUGAAAGCCCCGGGCUCAACCUGGGAAUUGCAUUCGAGACUGAAUAGCUAGGGUACGGUAGAGGGAAGUGGAAUUUCCGGUGUAGCGGUGAAAUGCGUAGAUAUCGGAAGGAACAUCAGUGGCGAAAGCGACUUCCUGGACCAGUACCGACGUUCAGGCACGAAAGCGUGGGGAGCAAACAGG
This 253-nucleotide ribosomal RNA is filed under the name uncultured bacterium. Its description in RNAcentral is "partial 16S ribosomal RNA". It matches the Rfam family "Bacterial small subunit ribosomal RNA", at positions 524 to 776 of the family's 1533-position model. The record is from RNAcentral.